Molecule: transfer RNA, 68 nt
Filed under: Marmota monax (woodchuck)
Lineage: Eukaryota; Metazoa; Chordata; Mammalia; Rodentia; Sciuridae
Description: tRNA.Ala
Source: RNAcentral
GGAUUGUGGCACAGAGGUAGAGCGCUUGCCUAGCAUGUGUGAGGCACUGGGUUUGAUUCUCAGCACCA